CUUACUCAGUUCAUCUACAUUUAUAGACAUUUCCAUUAUCAUCCAGAUGAACAUCGUGACCUUUGACUUUGUCUGACGCAGCCAUGUGAACUCCUUAUCAGAAGCACACAAGGAAGACAAGCUACGCAUUGAAAGCUUGGAGAAGGAGUUGACAAAUUGCACCGAGGAAAUAGCAGGAGUUAAGAGAAGAGAAGUUGAAAGCAAAAAAGAAGAAGCAGAGGACCUUGCUUAAGAAAUGGCUGAGCUAAGGUACCAAAUUACUGAUUUGCUUGAAAAAGAGUCCAAGCGCGGGACUUGCAUCGAACAGGGCGUCUUUACUGAGGAAACACACACAUACUUUUAGGUGAUGAUGAGGAAAUAUGUUACGUUCCGUUCCAUGAAUGGAGUUAUGGUAUAAGAUUUAGCUCAUUGUUGCUGCAAUGAGGAAUAUGAAGUAGAUUUGCUUUGCCACGGUUCUUUCUGAUAGCUCUGAUUCUGAAUCUUUGAUCAGUGUCUAUUAGCAGUGUUGGUUUGUCAUAAUUUCCUCACUGUUAUAGAUAUAUAUGUAUUUGUUUUUGAAUUCACUCACUUCUUUGACACUCAUUUCUGUUUUGCCAAAUUAAGUGGCGGUGAGUCUGGUGACCUUUUUAUUCGGUACAUAAAUAAUGAUUGUAACAAUUUAUCUUUUUUU
This is a long non-coding RNA of Cucumis melo (muskmelon), 670 nucleotides long. RefSeq lists it as uncharacterized. The record is from RefSeq and is a predicted model, not a curated record. Lineage: Eukaryota; Viridiplantae; Streptophyta; Magnoliopsida; Cucurbitales; Cucurbitaceae. The transcript has 2 exons.